GCCUACCAAGGCUACGAUCAGUAGGGGUUCUGAGAGGAUUAACCCCCACACUGGUACUGAGACACGGACCAGACUCCUACGGGAGGCAGCAGUGAGGAAUAUUGGUCAAUGGGCGGAAGCCUGAACCAGCCAUCCCGCGUGAAGGAAGACAGCCUUACGGGUUGUAAACUUCUUUUCUGUCAGAAGAAUAAGCUUGUCGAGACGAGUGAUGCCGGUAUGACAGGAAUAAGCAUCGGCUAACUCCGUGCCAGCAGCCGCGGUAAUACGGAGGAUGCAAGCGUUAUCCGGAUUUAUUGGGUUUAAAGGGUGCGCAGGUUGUUUGAUAAGUCAGUGGUGAAAGUCUGUCGCUUAACGGUAGGAUUGCCAUCGAUACUGUUGGACUUGAAUAUGGAUGAGGUAGGCGGAAUGUGUAGUGUAGCGGUGAAAUGCAUAGAUAUUACACAGAACACCGAUUGCGAAGGCAGCUUACUAAUCCAUCAUUGACGCUGAGGCACGAAAGCGUGGGGAUCAAACAGGAUUAGAUACCCUGGUAGUCCACGCCGUAAACGAUGAUCACUCGCUGUUUGCGAUAUACAGUAAGCGGCUAAGCGAAAGC
This 595-nucleotide ribosomal RNA is filed under the name uncultured bacterium. Its description in RNAcentral is "bacterial SSU rRNA". It matches the Rfam family "Bacterial small subunit ribosomal RNA", at positions 263 to 858 of the family's 1533-position model. The record is from RNAcentral.